This 207-nucleotide ribosomal RNA is filed under the name uncultured bacterium. Its description in RNAcentral is "partial 16S ribosomal RNA". It matches the Rfam family "Bacterial small subunit ribosomal RNA", at positions 568 to 774 of the family's 1533-position model. The record is from RNAcentral.
CGUGUAGGCGGCCAAGCAGGUCCGCUGUGAAAACUCGAGGCUCAACCUCGAGAGGUCGGUGGAAACCGUUUGGCUAGAGUCCGGAAGAGGAGAGUGGAAUUCCCGGUGUAGCGGUGAAAUGCGCAGAUAUCGGGAAGAACACCCGUGGCGAAGGCGGCUCUCUGGGACGGUACUGACGCUGAGACGCGAAAGCGUGGGGAGCGAACA